AGUCGUCCUCAGUGCCACCAGUGACAAGCGAACGACUAGCACGAGCACGGUGACCUUCGGAAUUAAGAUAAGAACGACCGACGGCUGCGAAAUUAUUCAUGGCACAUCUGCGGAUCCAUCAUGUCUUCUCUGUGAAUCGCCCCAUGUUUGACGGGAGUCUGGAGACAUUGUGCCCGUGGGAACGCCGUCCUCCCAUCAGAUGGCAGCUUCUGUGUCACCGCUGCUCUUGUCUGCAAUCUCCAUGUUUUGUCUCCCGAAGGAGACUUUCUCAGGUGCAGUUGCUCGUCUUCGCCCGUCCUCCGUCGUUUUCUUCUUCUGGGAUCAGUGGACAGAGGGAAGUCCUGCCGUCCGUCACUCCUCGCCAGACAAACACAGAGAUCUGGUUACGGCCACCAACCAAAAAGCUCCAACACACACACACACACACACACACACACACACACACUGAAGAGGCCUCCUUUGUCCAGAUCGAGCCGAAGGAGCGAACGGAGACGAGGCCGCGGCAGCUUGUCAUUGAUGUAAACGCGUCACAUCGACGGUGAUUCAUCUCUCGCGGAAGUAGAAAGUCAAGGUCAUACAAAGGCUUGUUUUUCCUUAACUGCUGGAGCUGUAACUCCUUGGCUACUGUACGCCACAGUGCGCCGUGAGAGUGGGCGGCUCGCUGUUCUGAAUUUCAGGAAUCAAGCGCAUUACAUUCUUUGUCUUCAUCUCAGAGAAACUGCUUUUUUUUUGCAUUUUGAACCUUUUCCUGACACCAGCGGAAGACUGGCAAAAAAAAAUAAAAGACUGGCGGAUUCCCA
Scophthalmus maximus (turbot) is the source of this 800-nucleotide long non-coding RNA. RefSeq lists it as uncharacterized. Lineage: Eukaryota; Metazoa; Chordata; Actinopteri; Pleuronectiformes; Scophthalmidae. The record is from RefSeq and is a predicted model, not a curated record. The transcript has 4 exons.